UACUUGUUAUCGGGAGAUGUUCGGAUGUGCUGUCGGGCGCAGAUGUGAACUCUUAAAAAUGAUAGUAUCAGAUGUCGCCUUCUAUCAGUUGUAGUUGUAGUUGUAGAUGAUAGCCAAGCAGUGACAUUAUCCAGAAAAUUUCCAUAAGUUGCCUGAUCAAUAGAAAACUGACUGAUCUUUAUAAAUCCUUUUAGUUUUUGAAGCAUUUAGAAAAGGUUCAAUUUUGAUUUCUGAUGUUUAUAAACCCCUCUUCUCCUCACUUGUAUUAGAAACAUGGAUUUAUGCGAGUUGUUAGCCAAUCUCGAGUACCAAUCAUUCUGCCUACCAAUCUGCCUACCAAUCUUUUAGGAUGCCUUAAUUUCUGACGGAAGAACUUCUCAAGAUCGUUGGUUUAUUUACGGAGAAGCCUGGUUCUUUGGGCAACUUGAGCGAAUAAAAUCUGCCUAUGAAGGUGUCUGAAUCGACAGGCUCAUUUUAUUGAAGACCCGGAGAUGAUCUCUGGAACCCUAAAAGCAGAAGUUGCUUUGUUAUUUGGAAGCUGUUCUGAUUCUGAUUAAUCUGGGUUAGUUAAAACAGUUGAGUUCAAUAUCUCAAUUAGCACAGUUCUGUUAUUUGUGAGUUGGCUGAGAAAUGUCUUUCGUUGUUAUGAGACUUAGAGAGAGAACCAAGCCGUGGCCAUGGUGUUGUGAUACACAAUAUUCUCAUUUCACUUUUUGGCGGGUGGAUGUUGAUGCUUGGUAGUUCUCAUGGGGACGGCUUUCUAUGACAGACAUGAAUUGAAUUAAUUUGAGUACAUACGACAAUCUAAUUGCUGGGUAUGUUACAGCUUUGUUGUGGGACAGCAUGGAGAAGACUUUCAGCAUCAUGGAAGCUGGCCUCAUCAAGCCUUAUGUCAACACCUGCUUCAGACAAUUUGGAGAAUUGGAAGACAGUACUAUUUAUUAGAGCCAUGAUAUGUUCUUACUGCAACUGUUCAGAUUGAGGUUGAGGUUAGGUCUGUUGGUGAGGGAUUUAAACCUAGAUCACCCAUGUUAAAGACAGUAGUUAUUACCACUACAGCAUAUCAUAACAGGUUGAUAAAAUCAAGAUGGUUUUAACUUUUAAGCCACGUUUGUAAAAAGUGAAUUUAUAUAUUCAAGCACCAAUAUAAUUUCUGUUGCUUUUCUAGAG
Molecule: long non-coding RNA, 1170 nt
Organism: Nelumbo nucifera (sacred lotus)
Lineage: Eukaryota; Viridiplantae; Streptophyta; Magnoliopsida; Proteales; Nelumbonaceae
Source: RefSeq, a predicted model, not a curated record